UACGGAGGGGGCUAGCGUUGUUCGGAAUUACUGGGCGUAAAGCGUGCGUAGGUGGUUUGUUAAGUCUGUUGUGAAAGCCCCGGGCUCAACCUGGGAAUGGCAAUGGAUACUGGCAAGCUAGAGUGCGGUAGAGGGUAGUGGAAUUCCCGGUGUAGCGGUGAAAUGCGUAGAUAUCGUAAGGAAGACCAGUGGCGAAGGCGGGUCUCUGGACAGUUCCUGACGCUGAGGCACGAAGGUCAGGGGAGCAAACGGG
Molecule: ribosomal RNA, 253 nt
Filed under: uncultured bacterium
Lineage: Bacteria
Description: partial 16S ribosomal RNA
Rfam family: Bacterial small subunit ribosomal RNA
Source: RNAcentral